GAAUUCACUAGUGAUUCAGGCCUAGCACAUGCAAGUCGAGGGGUAUAUGUCUUCGGAUAUAGAGACCGGCGCAGGGGUGCGUAACGCGUAUGCAAUCUGCCUUUCGCAGAGGGAUAGCCCAAAAAAAAAUGGAUUGAUACCUCAUAGUAUUGCGGCUCGGCAUCGAGAUGUAAUUGAAGUCACAUCGGUGAAAGAUGAGCAUGCGUCCCAUUAGUUAGUUGGUCAGGUAGCGGCUUACCAAGGCAACGAUGGGUAGGGGUCCUGAGAGGGAGAUCCCCCACACUGGUACUGAGACACGGUCCAGACUCCUACGGGAGGCGGGAAAGAGGAAUAUUGGUCUAAAUACGCCAGUCUGUACCAGCCAUGCCGCGUGCAGGAUGACGGUCCUAUGGAUUGUAAGGUGCUUAGUACGAGAAGAAACACUCCGACGUGUCGGAGCUGACGGUAUC
Molecule: ribosomal RNA, 449 nt
Filed under: uncultured bacterium
Lineage: Bacteria
Description: bacterial SSU rRNA
Rfam family: Bacterial small subunit ribosomal RNA
Source: RNAcentral